GAUGAAGAACGUAGCGAAAUGCGAUAAGUAGUGUGAAUUGCAGAAUUCAGUGAAUCAUCGAAUCUUUGAACGAACAUUGCGCCCCUUGGUAUUCCAUGGGGCAUGCCUGUUCGAGCGUCAUUUGUACCUUCAAGCUUUGCUUGGUGUUGGGUGUUUGUCCAUUCUCUUGCAGAGGGACUCGCCUUAAAGUAAUUGGCAGCCAGUGUUUUGGUUUUGAAGCGCAGCACAAGUCGCGAUUCAACGCUAUACGCCAGCUUCCACAAGCCUUUUUCACUUUUGACCUCGGAUCAGGUAGGGAUACCCGCUGAACUUAAGCAUAUCAAUAAGCGGAGGA
Molecule: unclassified non-coding RNA, 334 nt
Filed under: soil metagenome
Description: partial contains 5.8S ribosomal RNA, internal transcribed spacer 2, and large subunit ribosomal RNA
Rfam family: 5.8S ribosomal RNA (bases 1-120)
Source: RNAcentral